This 391-nucleotide ribosomal RNA is filed under the name uncultured bacterium. RNAcentral describes it as "bacterial SSU rRNA". It matches the Rfam family "Bacterial small subunit ribosomal RNA", at positions 30 to 506 of the family's 1533-position model. The record is from RNAcentral.
UUGAACGCUGGCGGCAUGCUUUACACAUGCAAGUCGAACGGUAACGUGCCUUUAGGUUCGGAAUAGCUCCUGGAAACGGGUGGUAAUGCCGAAUGUGCCCUUCGGGGGAAAGAUUUAUCGCCUUUAGAGCGGCCCGCGUCUGAUUAGCUAGUUGGUGGGGUAAUGGCCCACCAAGGCUACGAUCAGUAGCUGGUCUGAGAGGAUGACCAGCCACAUUGGGACUGAGACACGGCCCAAACUCCUACGGGAGGCAGCAGUGGGGAAUCUUGCGCAAUGGGCGAAAGCCUGACGCAGCCAUGCCGCGUGUAUGAUGAAGGUCUUAGGAUUGUAAAAUACUUUCACCGGUGAAGAUAAUGACUGUAGCCGGAGAAGAAGCCCCGGCUAACUUCGU